Molecule: ribosomal RNA, 606 nt
Filed under: uncultured Actinomycetes bacterium
Lineage: Bacteria; Bacillati; Actinomycetota; Actinomycetes
Description: SSU rRNA
Rfam family: Bacterial small subunit ribosomal RNA
Source: RNAcentral
CAGCUUGUUGGCGGGGUAAAGGCCCACCAAGGCGACGAUCCGUAGCUGGUCUGAGAGGACGAUCAGCCACACUGGGACUGAGACACGGCCCAGACUCCUACGGGAGGCAGCAGUGGGGAAUCUUGCGCAAUGGGCGAAAGCCUGACGCAGCGACGCCGCGUGAGGGAAGAAGGCCUUCGGGUUGUAAACCUCUUUCAGGAGGGACGAAGCCACUCGGGUUAAUAGCCCAGAGGGUGACGGUACCUCCAGAAGAAGCCCCGGCUAACUACGUGCCAGCAGCCGCGGUAAUACGUAGGGGGCAAGCGUUGUCCGGAUUUAUUGGGCGUAAAGAGCGUGUAGGCGGCUUUACAGGUCCGCUGUGAAAACUCGAGGCUCAACCUCGAGCUGUCGGUGGAAACCGUAAGGCUAGAGUCCGGAAGAGGAGAGUGGAAUUCCCGGUGUAGCGGUGAAAUGCGCAGAUAUCGGGAAGAACACCCGUGGCGAAGGCGGCUCUCUGGGACGGUACUGACGCUGAGACGCGAAAGCGUGGGGAGCGAACAGGAUUAGAUACCCUGGUAGUCCACGCCGUAAACGAUGGGUGCUAGGUGUGGGAGGUGUCGACUCCUC